AGCCACAGCUAUAUCACCCUGCAGCCCAAGACUGGUUGCCCACUGAAGCUAAGCAGGGCUGAGCUUGGUCAGUACCUGGAUGGGAGACCUCCUUGGAAAAAUAGGUUGCUGUUGGAA
This 117-nucleotide ribosomal RNA is filed under the name Sinocyclocheilus grahami. Lineage: Eukaryota; Metazoa; Chordata; Actinopteri; Cypriniformes; Cyprinidae. The record is from RNAcentral.